Molecule: small nucleolar RNA, 106 nt
Organism: Trifolium pratense (red clover)
Lineage: Eukaryota; Viridiplantae; Streptophyta; Magnoliopsida; Fabales; Fabaceae
Source: RefSeq, a predicted model, not a curated record
AAGCCCAUGCUUAGGACAUUUCUUCAGAUAAAGUUUGAAUCUUUCCCAUGCAUCAUAUAGAGUUUCAGAAUCUCCUUGUUCAAAGCUUGUUAUGUCUUGCCUUCUU